CUCUAACGCAUGCGCAAUCAGGAUACGUCGUCACUGCAAUCGGGCGUCAUUACAUGUGACGAUCCUCAGGCAGAAAGCAGUCUAAUUUGCUGACAAGUUGUACAGGUAUCCACUUACUUUCAUAUGAAGCGCCAGCAGGAGUGCCUGUGAUGGAUGUAGACAGUGAUCUUGAUGGCAAACUGCUUCAGCAGUUUAGUUCCAUGGGUACUACAGAUCGAGAAGUUCUCAUCUCAGAGUUCCAGAAACUGCUGGGAAACAAGCUGAAUCCGGAAUGUUGUGCUUUUUUCUUAGACAUGAAUAAUUGGAAUCUACAGGCAGCAAUAGGAUCCUACUAUGAUUUUGAACAGCCAAGUGUAGUCCUGCCAUCUAUGGCAUUGGUCAAGGAUGUCACUAUUGGGGAAGGAGAAUCUGUACCACCUAGAACCAAGUUUUUGAAAACUUGGCGAAUUCAAAAUACAGGUACAGAAGCCUGGCCACCAGGAUGCAGUCUGCGUUUUUGUGGAGGUGAUAACAUGGGAGUUACAGACUGGUGCAUUGUUGAUGCUCUUGCACCUGGAGAGAUUUAUGACCUUAGCAUAGAAAUGACAAGUCCAAUGUGCACAGGCGUCUACCAAGGCCAGUGGCGUAUGUCAACCCCCACUGGCCAUUAUUUUGGAGAAAUUAUAUGGGUGAUAGUAACAGUGGAAGAAAAUGGUCUUCUUGGUCUGACACAGCAGAUGUCUCGAUUUGGCAACUUUGGGCCUCAAGGACAGUUUGAUGACAGUCGUUUGUACAGCCCUAGUCAAAUGGCACUAGUGCCUGUGACAUCUGCAGGAACAGCAUCUACCCUUCACUCUGAAAACCCUUGUGCAAGCACAAUUUCAGACAUCACUUCUCAAGAACCCAGCUCCAUGCCUGCCUCUUCAGCUGAACGCUGGCUUUUUCAAGAAGAGAGAAACUCACUUCUUUGCCUCCCCCAAGCUUAAAUCUUCGUCUGACUGGUCUUUCCAAGAGUCUACUGCCCUUUUAUGUCUACAGACUAUCUUUCUUUUUUGAAUGAGCUCAGCUGAUGUGGCACCACACACAGAUCAUUCCCAGGAUACAGAAAUGUCCUAGUGUACAGCUGUGGAUGGAUGUGCAGGCAGUGUGAAUGUGGGCUUGUUCUGGGUGCAGGCUUUUACUCAAGCAUUUUGUGAUUUGUUGAAUGAAUUAGCAUCAAUGCAGCAAUUUUGUGUGGGGAAGAUGCUACAUCUGCAAUGUGUUAGUUUCCAUUGUUGAAAAAAAACAAAGAAAUACAUGCUAUGAGAAAACUGACCUAUAUCUAACUUGCAGAGUAUCUUACAAGUUCUUUUGUUCAAAUAGAGCCUUAUUUGCUUUGAGUUUCUGUGGUUUGAAGGAAUCUUCACUGGUUGUUAAAAUCAAGCUGUUGAAGAUUUAUUGCACUUUCCUCAUGUAAUAGAAUUUGAAAAGCUGUAAAACUGGUUGGUAUUUGUCAGUAUUGCCUAUAUAUAUACCAUUUGUAGUCAUACCUUUGGCAAUCCAUGGGUGGCCAAUUUUUCUUAAGAGUGGUCAAAGAACAUUGGUUAAUUUCCUUUCCUGCAUUUUCAAAAGGAAAUCAGAUGUUACUGCAUUUACUACAGAUACCCUCUUCAAAACAUAAACAGAUCCCACAGUGAUUCUAGCUAUUUUAAUCAUAUUAACCCAUAUGUUCUUAACUCCACCUUGAGUGUUUUGUGGCCACCCCCUCCAUUUCACUUUUGUUUCAAUUAAAUCUGUUUUGCUGAAGCAUUGUCACAAAACCAGUAAUCCAAUCCAGCUUUAAUUUAAAAUACACCCCCAUCCUUUUAAUCAGCAUUUUGUUUGAUUCCCAUUAGAAUAUAUAUGAUAUAGUGUAUAGUUCAUAAAUGGUGGGUGUUAUCUGUGAUAUAAAUAUGUACAAUUGCUAAAGAUACAAUGAUUGCUGGUAAGGUCCUUGUGAUGAAGGGGGUUUAACAGGUCAUAGCGAGAAAUAUGUGCAUUUUUCCCCAUGUGUCUUCUGGCCUCAACAAUGUGUUGGUGAAAAACAUGGUAUAGAAAUUUUUUAAGUCAUUCAAAGUUUGUACUGAAGCAGUAGAAAAUUGUCCCUCUCUCCCAUUACAGUGUUUAUUAUGUAAGUCACUUGAUGCAAUAGUUUUGCUAGUACAGUGGUAAUAUGAAAACAUGUCUUUUAUAGAAACAGUCUAGAUUUCACUGCUAGAUUCCCUGUGAGAUUAUAUAUAGAUAUAAAAUAAAAAGAAAAAUGGGAACACACUUAUGACCUUGUUAGCGUUUUAAAAAAACCUGAAAUAUUUGUUUUUUAUAGAUUGGAGAAAUCCUGUUGCCUGCUUUGAUUUAUUUUCAGGUCAUUUUUGGGCAGAUAUCUUCAUGUAGCUUUGGUCAUUUAUGGUCCAUUAUAAACCCAUGGUAGAGCUGAUGGUGAACUUGAGAGACAAGCAAUUUUGCUACCUCUGCCCCACAGCUGGUAAAUGCUUCCCGGUAGAUGUUGGCUCCUUUUAAUAAUUACAUGCAUAUUCUUUGGGACGUUACCAUAAGUAAAACCUGUUACUUCAUCUAUUUAUGUCAUCUUAAAGCAUAUUUGGCUUAUUAUGGUAAUUUGUUGUGCAUUGAGGCUUAUGAAGUUUUUGUUCAUCUUAAGUUGUGGAUAACUUUGUAUACCAGUCAUGCAGGAUAAGGAAACAGCAUAUUGCAGAUUGUAUCUUUGAGGACGAAUGUGCGAAGACUGCACACAUGUUGUGAUGAUCCUAAAAAUUAUUUGUACUAUGAUUUUUUUAAAUAUUUUGAUUAUUGAUAAGCUGUGGUCUUAGGGAUGUUGAAGCAAUGGCAUAAAUUGUCCUGCAUUCUUUUUUAAGUUUUUGGGAGGUAGAGGGAGGAUUGGAAAAAUUUUCUAACCAUAGAUUAGUCAGAUUUUUGUUUUAAUUCAGAUAGUUUGUCACUUGUCAUUUGAAGCUAAAAUCUUAAGAUCUAAUCCACCAAACAAAAAUUAUGACAAAUCUUUUGAUCAGAUCAGAUACCCAUUUUUUGCUGGUAUUAUGCAAAUACUAGUGUAUGUGGAGAUCAGGCCAAAUGACUGAGAAGGUAGCUUUUGCUUUGUAGUCAGAGGUGAUUCAGUUAGUGCUCAUUGAUAGCUUGACGUUUGUAAUGGUAGUAAAGCGAAAAAUGUUAACUGUCUGGCAGUAGUAUCAGACUUUUGUCCAUAGACUGGUAGUUCUUAGAAUGGCUACUUCCAGUUUAUAUCCAGUGCUGAGAUGUCUUCAUAGACUUUGUUUAUGCUGAUCUGUUUCUUUCAUCAGACUCCUUUGUAUAUAUAUGUGUGUGUGUGUGCAUGUGUAGCUAGCAGAGAUUUAAAAGGAAAGUAUAUUGGUGGAAAUUCUACACCUGCAUUCUGGCUUAACAGGCAAAAGGAGAAAGAAGUGUGCAAGUCACUUAACCAGUUGGUACCCUGAAAUAAUUAGUGAAUUAUUGUAAAACUAGUAAUAUUCCUUUUGUUUCAUGUCCAUAGUGCAGAAGCACUGCUUGUCAUUAGGAUUUUAUGCAUUUUAACUGAUUUAAAGGGAUAUAAAACAUGGUUAAACUAAUCAGGAUCCUUAAAAAAAAAUGUCGCUAGCAUGCUGUUUUCUCUUCGCAUUUGCAUGCAUAGAGGGUGUGUUGAAUCUUUUCAAACUCUUGACACUUGGUUCACAUUUAGGUUUGCUUCCUGUGAAAAGAGCAUGAUCCCAGGUAUCAGAUUGGUGAAGGAAUGUUUCCUUACAUAGCUGAGCAUUUAACUUAAAUGUUUUUAACAACGCUAGAGGAAAGAUGGACAUAUGUUAAAUGUCACAGCUAAGAGGCAUGAAUGAAAGACACUUGAAAAAUUUGUGCUUAACUGGUAGCAGAAAGUGCAUGAUGGAGCUAUGCAUAUAUGUCUAAAUCCUUGCAUUGUCUUUGCAUGAGCAAAAGGCUGAUGUCAGCUGUAGUGGGUGCUUGCUUUUUCAUUGUGUCACAUUUCAGUUGCAGUUAGUUCUUUCUUAACUGGCUGCAGUGUCUUGAAACAGCAUGUGCAUUUCUUUAUGCACACACCUGUCUGCUACCUCUCCAUAUUUUGGAAACUUAAAGGAAGUAAAGACUGAAAGCUAACCUGUUUCUUUAAAUUGUGUCUAGACUGCUAUUGAUAUGUUUUCACAAAUACACACUUCCAAGCAUUACUGGACACAACAAAAAUACCAGUCACUUAUAGGUAUAGAGACUAAAUAACGAUAAUUUUUACCUUGCUGUCGACCAAUUCACUGUGUUCUUGUAUGUUUGAUUAUUAAGCCAUUAACAACUGUUUGUAAUAAUUUCCUUUUUUUAAAUUUGUGCUUUUCUGCAAAUAGAAAAGAAUUAUAUACUGAUUCUGAUUCAUGAAAGUAGAGGACACUGUACUUAUAUUUAACUUAUUUAUUUGUAUACUUAUAGGAGAUUUUUACUUGUGUCGGAUGUAAAGCAAUCCCAAGACAACGUAAAAUAUCCAGUCUUCAAAACAGAGCUGAGUUAUGGUUUUCACAACUAAAAGUGAUGAUAAAAUUUGGUUACAUAAAACUUAUUAAAUGUUUAUUAAACCACAUGGUCAAGCUUUGUACGUUUGUUGUCAGAAGGGUAGAUGCAUUUAACGGGUCUUCCAAAGGGUGAAGGCAAUAGGCAUGCAACAGGUGGUAGAAGAGCAAAUCUGAAUAUUUUUGUGUAGAAUAAAUUUUGCCAUGUUAAAUAGUGCAGAAUUAACUUGAUAAAGUGAUCAAAACUUGCUUAAUGUUUGUUGUUAGUACAAAUGAGAGUCUUAUUCAAGCCAGUUCUAACAGUUUCUAAACAUAUAGUACCAGUUAAGGUAUCUUUAAAUGUUGUAGCCUUUGUUUAAGAUGGUGGUGAUGUAGCAUGUUGGCACGAUUUACUCAGCGGAGCUGUUACAUAUGCCUGAAAAGGUUUUUCAUAGAUUAAAAGGUGUGAGAAAUGUUGCUUGUAAAGCAUAAUUCAUUCAGAAAUAUUACACAUGUAGUCUGGAGUGUCACUAAUUAGUAGUCAUGAAAACCAAUUUACCAGCACAAGCAUUGGUUGAAGCUACACAAAACUAUCCAAUUAAAAAAAAAAAAUGUUUGAAAAAACAGCGACAGAGUACUACAGUGGUUAUCAUUUAAUGAGUUGGUGACUAUCAGAUUCUACCAACUUUUUUUUCUCCUUAGGUGUUACCAGAUAAAAACAUGAGCGUGACUACGGAAGUUGUACUUCAUAUGGCUUUCAGGUUAUAUUUGUGUUGUUAAAGCAUCAUGUGAAACUUUAGCUAGCAGGACUGCAGCAUGCAUGUUAAAAGAUAUCUUCAGCCAUCCCAGUUUCAGAAGAAACAUUGGCUGAGUAUCUACUGACUGCUAUAAAUAGUCUUUUGUUUGUUUAUAUUUCUCAAAUAGGGUUUGAGUAGACAGCAGUAAAAACUGAAGCACAAAUGAACUGUUUUCUUUGUGCUUUUGUUCCAUGAUGCCAUCCUUCAUGUUUCGUGUGAUCAGUGCCAGACAUGAAUACUACUACAUUCAUUUAAUGGACCCUUUGGUGUAAUUGUAAAGUGAUCAUAGGUUCUAGCCUCUGGCACAUGUUAUUUCUCCACUGUUUAGUGGACUAAACUAGCUUGCCAUGACAUUGCCUUGAUCACUGACUUUACAUAAGCUACAGCUCCCAAAUAAUUACUCAGUAAAUGUUCCAUUCUGUUAUGAAAAAGGCUGAAGACAAAGCAGAAAAAACAUUUGCAUUUUAAGCUCUGGUCUGGGAUGUCCAAGCAUGCAGUUUUGUUGGGCAUGUAUAGAUUUGGAUACUGCUACCAUAAUCACCUUAAGAGAUUCUGUAUCCUGAGUUGGGUUCUGGUCUUGCAUGAACUCUUUCAGCUGCCAAUCAGACCUCCACCCUCCUUUGAUUUACAGUAAUGGUUUGAUCUUCCAGCUACUUUUGUUUAUUUUUGCAUUUCUUGUGCUAUCUGCUCUUCAUCCAAACUGCUGCAGUGGACAUAACUUGAGUGGUCGAGGAAGAUUACACUUGAAAUUUCAAUGGACAUACUAUAGAUUAAUCUUUCCUCCCUCCCUCCCUCCCCCAACCAAAAUCAUUUUUUUUUAAAUAUUCAAUUCUUAUCUAGUCUAGGUUUGACUGUAAGUAGUUCAUAAACAUCUAAUUUGAAUGUAACAUUACUUCCCUUUUCUACUGAGUGCUUAAGCCCUAAAUAGCAUUUGAAUUGGUCGAAGGUUAGUUUGCUGCCUGGAAUAGCCCUUGAAUUAUGGUAUAUUCCAAUUUUCACACCAGGUAACUUUUAUCCCCAUAAAUGCAAAAGGCAAUAUAUUGCUUUCCUUGUGUCUGAUGCAUACCAUUAUUUCUUAUAAAUGCUGCAUAACCAGAAGUGCACCCAUGUAUAUUGGAAACAUUAAACAUGAAGACUACUUUAGAACUUGGGACCUAUAAAAGAUAAAGUAAAUUGUCUUGCAAUUAGUCUAUUAAGCCUAUCUACCCAUAUUAAGUCAAAAACCUUAAGUUAAUGUACAUUGCACUUUAAAGAUUUUUUUAACAGCGCUCUGCAUACUUAACAAUAAUAUGGUAAAUUCUUGACUUCACAUUAGAACUAGCAAGAAUGAGCUGGUAGCUCAGACCUAUGAAAAUGUUAAUUUUUUUUCUUUUUUGACAAGCAUGUAAUAGCACAAAAUUUCUGGAUGGGUAUUAAGAUUAUUUUAUGAAGGGUACAUAGAACAGAGAUUGUUUUAAAUUUGCAUUUAUAGCUUUUGUAAGAAAAUGUCACUGAAUACUGUAUUCCAGUUUCUUCCCACCCCUUUUUUUUCCUUGUCCCUUUCCCCUCAAACUAUGUAUUACCUCUUGGUGGAAGCACUUUCCUGUCAAACCAAGCAUCAUUUUUUCACAUUAUUUUUGUCUAUAGACUCAGCUGUGCAUACACAUGGGAGUUUUUACACCUAUAGCAAAAAUUUGAAAUGCAGUUCUAAGUUAUUGUCCUGUAUUCUAAACAUCCAAUCUAUAAGCAUUGUGUAUGUGCAUGCCUGCAUGCGUAAAUGUCUUCAUUGUCAUAGUUAUCUUCUGGUAUCAUGCCUUUCACAGGUUGUUUAAUCAGCUUUUGAAUGUGAGAGCAAAGGAAUGCAAAAUACAUAUCGGAGAAUGGUUUCCCCCAUGACUGAAUAUAAACAUGUCAAUCUAAAACAUACCCAAGCUCAGUGAGCUUGAGGUGAAAGGAUUAAUAUCUAUCCAUAUAUGCUGACCUUGUUUUAUUGUUAUUUGUGGUGCAUUAGACAGACAUGUCUUUGUUAAUAAAGCUGUCUCUUGUUGAUGCCA
This 7335-nucleotide unclassified non-coding RNA is filed under the name Pomacea canaliculata. Its description in RNAcentral is "uncharacterized protein C6orf106 homolog, transcript variant X1". Lineage: Eukaryota; Metazoa; Mollusca; Gastropoda; Architaenioglossa; Ampullariidae. The record is from RNAcentral.